RNAcentral lists this long non-coding RNA (222 nucleotides) under Homo sapiens (human). RNAcentral's name for it is "HSALNT0154490". Lineage: Eukaryota; Metazoa; Chordata; Mammalia; Primates; Hominidae. The record is from RNAcentral.
UUAGAGGAAUCUAAUGACUUACCCAAGGUAACAGAGCAAGAAAAGCUUCGUCGCUGGGAUUCUGAUUCUGGAUUUACACACUCCUCAUUCCAUCUGACUUCAUAAUGAAAUCACACUGUAGAUGAGAGUACACCAAAAUCCAAGGAUGCUCAAGUCUGUGUUAUAAAAUGACAAGGACACUGUAGGAAAGAAAAAAGAGAAUCUUUGAAAGUCAUACCACUG